RNAcentral lists this ribosomal RNA (253 nucleotides) under uncultured bacterium. Its description in RNAcentral is "partial 16S ribosomal RNA". It matches the Rfam family "Bacterial small subunit ribosomal RNA", at positions 524 to 776 of the family's 1533-position model. The record is from RNAcentral.
UACGGGGGGGGCAAGCGUUGUUCGGAAUUACUGGGCGUAAAGGGUUCGUAGGUGGCUUGCUAAGUCAGACGUGAAAUCCCUCAGCUUAACUGGGGAACUGCGUCUGAUACUGGCAAGCUUGAGUGCAGGAGAGGAACGCGGAAUUCCAGGUGUAGCGGUGAAAUGCGUAGAUAUCUGGAGGAACACCGGUGGCGAAGGCGGCGUUCUGGACUGCAACUGACACUGAGAGACGAAAGCCAGGGGAGCAAACGGG